RNAcentral lists this unclassified non-coding RNA (216 nucleotides) under uncultured Thelephoraceae. RNAcentral describes it as "sequence contains ITS2". Lineage: Eukaryota; Fungi; Basidiomycota; Agaricomycetes; Thelephorales; Thelephoraceae. The record is from RNAcentral.
ACACCUCAACUCUCAUGGUUUUCUGUGAUGAGCUUGGACCGUGGGGGUUUGUUGGCCUUUGGUCAACUCCUCUCAAAUGAAUCAGCUUGCCAGAGUUUGGUGGCAUCACAGGUGUGAUAACUAUCUACGCUUGUCGUUGUUGACCAGGUACCCUCCGGUUUCGGGGGUCCUCUGGAGCUUAUAAAUGUCUCUCCUCAGUGAAGACAACCAUUUAAA